UUUUUUUUUUUUUUUUUUUUUUUUGGGGCAGCACUUUUGGCAUAUGGAUAUUCCCAGGCUAGGGUUGAAUUGAAGCUGCAGCUGCCGGCCUCCACCAGCCACACCAACAUGGAUCUGAGCCAUGUCUGCAAAUUGCACUAUAGCUCAUGGCAACACCAGAUUCUUAACCCACCAAGCGAGGCUAGAGAUCAAACCCACAUCCUCAUAGAUACUAGUCAUGUUCAUUACUGCUAAGCCACAACAGGAACUCCUUUUCUUACAUAUUUUGAUAGGAAAUAUCUCAGAUAGGUUUGGCUCUAUAAAGCAACACCAAUACAUCAGUAUUUAUCAAUCUUUUUUUUAAUAUUUAUUGAAGAAACUCAUUUUUUGUUUGUUUGUUUUGCUUAAACAGCCGCACUCACAGCAUACGGAAAUUCCCAGGCUGGGAUUGAACUCCCAAGCCUCUGCAGAGACCCAUAGCGCUGCAGUUUGAUUCUUAACCCACUGCGCCACAGGGGCAACUCCCAGUAUUUAUCAAUCUAUGACCACAUACACACACACAAAAAAAUUUGUGCCAUUUAUAUAUCUAAAAAAAUCAAUAAAUGUAUAAAUACCUAUAAAUUACUAAUUAAAUAACAUUAAAAUGAGAUAGAAAUAUGAAUAAAGGUAUAAACAAACUGGCUGUGUUUCAUGGGUAUUAAGUGACUGAUGGACAUUAGCCAGGGUUUCAGCAGCAGUCUCACUAUUAGACCAUGAUGACUGGACCCAAAUAGUGGGCUUUAGAUCCAAAUUAAGAAAGAGCUUUAACGCAUUUCCUAGUUUUGAUUUGGAUGUCUUCAAAUUUGAGUGUUCAGGUGUCAAAAGCUUCAUUUUAUCCAUGUCUACUUAAUUCUUUGAAAAUUGUGAAUUCUGUCCAUCAGAAAAUAUGUUCUUAAUUGGAGGACCCUGGAUUUCUCUUUAUAGUUCUAAUAUCCAGCUGAGUACCUAGAAAACAUUAGGUUCUUAAUAACUAUUUAUAGGACAAAUGAAAAAUAAAAGGAAGUGAUAUUAUUUGAUAAUUGGAAGGAAUAAGUGAAAAUAAAGGGAAUCCCUCUCAUAACUAUAACUCAUUAAUAGAAUUAAUAGUUAUAUUGCAUUAUUUUGUCUAAUAUUUAUCUUUUAAUUUUAAAUGUCAUAUACAUAAAAAUAAAUCUAUAAUUUACUUAAAAUACAAAUUCCUGAUGGAGAAAUCUAGCAUUUUUUAUAAAACUCAAACCUAUCCCUGAAUUGAAUACCUGAGAUGUUCAAGGCUAAAAAAAUAAAGUUUCAGAAUUUGAGGCACUUAUUUAAAAAAACAAAGUAAAUGAACCAGGCUUGUUAGCAUAGAAAAUCUAUAGUGCAGGUAUCAUGCUAUAGCUAAAAUAUAAUUACAUGUUGUUAAUUUUAAGUACAUUAUUUAAUAAUCCAUUAAAAUGUUUUAUUUUCCCAUCUAUAGCUAUAAAUGGUGACACUGGCUAUUCUCUUUAUCACACUGUAGUAUUUCUAAAGAGAAAAGAAAUACGUAUUACUAAUUAUCCGCCCGUUUUCUUUUUUCGCUGUGCCCAUGACAUGUGAACAUUCCUAGGCCAGAGGUCAGAGCCAUUCCACAGCAGUGACUCAAGCUGCUGCAGGACAGCACAAGACCCUUAAUCCACUACACCAUGAGAGAACUCCUCUUAUCUGCCAUUUCCAACCAUCUUGUUCAUAAGAAAAUUUAGUGGCAGAUCCAUCCCCAGAUGUGGAGGAAAGGACCAGUGGGUAGAAUGGGCUUUCCAUCCUACAGAGUGUCCACCUUAGGAAAAAUUAUAGAAUCUCAUGAGUAUGUGCAGGUGAGAGAGAAAAUUUAAGUUAAAUUUCGGCUAUAUUCAAUACCCAAAGACGACUUCUAACAGGGAUCAAGGGUCCAAAUGGAAGGGUCCUGCAGUUAGUGAGAAUAUUCAAAGACAUGUCCUGUUUUCUACAAUAUGUUGGAUUGACUCAAGUCAAGAAAUGAACUUGAGGUAAAAGACAAAAUUUUUGAGUGGUUGGUAGAGAGUCUUCAACAAGAGGGUGUAACUUAUUUUUUGUUUUAAUAGCUAGACUUUUAGGAGUUUCUGUUGUGGCUCAGUUGUUAAUGAAUGCAACAAGUAUCCAUGAGGAUGUGGGUUCGAUCCCUGGCCUCACUCAGUGGGUUAAGGAUCUGGUGUUACUGAGGGCUGUGGUGUAGAUCACAGAUGCAGCUCAGAUGCUGCGUUGCUGUGGCUGUGGUGUAGGAUGGCAGCUACAACUCCAAUUAGACCCCUAUCCUGAGAACCUCCAUAUGCUGUGGUUCCAUUCUUAUAAGACAAAAACAAAAAACAAAAAAACCCUAGACUUCUAAGCAAAGACAAUGGAAGUUGUAUAGCCAGUGUUAUGCACUGGGUUGGCCAAGCAAACCUGGAAGCAUUUAGCAGAAGGCUGCAGUUAAGUAAGCAGACUGCUACCUAUACAACUACUCACUACUCCACUUGUACAGGGGUAGGGUGUAUCAUAUAUUUCAAGCAAAGCAAGGGAGAGUGAGGCAGAAGCCACAGCUUGAGGAUCUUCAGCACCAGUAACUGGGGGAAACAAAGGCUACCAGAAAAUUAAUCUACAUAUCUCUUGAGGUCAAGAAUACUUUCCGGCAUUAUAUAAAUUAUGUAGCUAGGCACAGAAAUUAACUUUAUCUUUUUAAUAUUUUCUAGUUGGAAAUUAUCUUAGUGUUAAAGUGAUGAUAACACACAUCCCCACCAGGCAAGGUAUUUAGUUUCUUAAUUUAACAACAUUUUGGUCUCUAGACCUAAAUAAUCCCUAGAUCACCAAUCUUUACACAGGUGCUGCAGAGAGGGGUAUUUUAUGGUCUUGAUAUCCAGAAGCACUCACAAUAAAAACUGUUCAAUAUCUUCUCCAAUGGUUUAAGUUUACAGGAAGUUGACUGAAGGUUAAGGUAAAAAAUCAGGCUCUAGAUAAGUGUUUGAGCAUGAUGAUAUAGAAAAUACACAGCUCUUCUCUCUUGAAACUUAAUCUUUAUAGAAAUUGUCCCUAAACCUAUACUAACUAAAUGUGCUGCCAUUUCAAUGAAGGUUUUAUAAAAUCAUUCCAGGUAAUAUGACUCAUUAGAGUAAAAUUAUUUGAAAAGCUAGGCUAUCUGGGUCUCAAAAAAAAAAAAAAUAGUGUGCAUAAGAGUUACCAAGAAAGUUUACAGAUUUCUAGACUCCAUGUCAAGGGGUUCACAUUUCAUAUAGUUUGGAGAUAAAGCUUGGAAACUUAUUUUUAAACAAGCCACCUAGAUCAUUACUCUGCCAAACACCAAAUAAACCAGAGAUGAAAUAAAAAUGGAACUGAAAGGUCCUAACACUGACACUGUUUGGACAGCAGAAAUGGAAUAUUGAGCAUCAGAAGGAAGAGGAUUUCCUUUUGAUUGACUAAAAACUGCCAAAAUCAUCUUUGAAGGAAGCCAUGUUUUGUGCCCACAGGAGAAUUAAAUAGAGUGAGAGGUUAUGAUAAAGCUUUUAUCUUGGAAAAAACUGAUGGAGUGACAGUGCUGUGAUGUGCGAAACUAGCAGAGAAAAUAUCAUGUCAUAAAAUAUAAAAUUGCCCAAGUAGGCCAGGAAAAAAUAUCAUAUCCAGACAUACAAGUAAUCAGGUUACUUCUCUAAAGAGUUUUGGUUUUAAAAUAUUAAAUUGCCCCCUCCCCAAAAAAUUACCUUUAAGUUAGCUCAGAGGAGAAAUAAUAAAAACUAAAUGCAAUCUUAAACAUCCUUUUAAAAUAGUUAAAAUUAAGAUCUAAUUUUCUCUGUCCUCAUGCAUGAUUAAAAAUGAAUAAAUGAAAAGACAAAACCCCAUUUGACUCUUUAUCCCAAAAGUGAUUACUUCAUCAUUCUCACUGCAGUGGGACACAUAUGCCAUCCACAACAAAUCACUAAUGUGUCUAUGAAAUUUUGCAAAUAAAUACAAUGUAUUUUUACUUGUGAGUACCAUCUGCAGGAUUUCAAGCAUGCAAAAUAUUUUGAUGCUUCAGGGGAUUUUAUAUAAUUGAUGCUAUAUUUUUCUGAGAAUGCUUCAAAUGACUGAUUAUGAAAGAUCUGCCCAGUUUUACUUACAUUAACUCUUGAAAAUAAUAUCCCCAUUCUCUCACAUCAUUUUGUGCAGUCAACUCACUUCUCUAGUACCCAUGUGACCUCCCACCAAAUCCCUGCCACUUUAUAGGAAAAGAGAACAAACCCUACAAAUGAUCUAGGUAAUAGAUUAGGAUUUCCUCUACAAUUAUUUGGCUAUUUCUCAUUAACCAUUAAAAUAAAAACAUGUAACAGGCUCCCUUCACAAAGUAGCUGGAUACUCUGUCAUCACCACUAUUCCUUUCUUUCUGUUGUCUUGAAAGCUUUCCAGGUAAGACCAAAUCUGCUUGCCAGGCAGUUGAUCUUGAAUAGGAACCCUCCUCAUCAUCCCAGACUUACCAGAACUUUCUGGUCCUUGGGAAGUUACCUUGGAGCAUUCAAAAGAGAGUUUGCGGGGCUGUCUGUGGAGCUGAGGGCUCAGGCUGGGAAAUGAAACUGCUUUGCCUUUUCACUGAACCAGCUGAGAUACCUGCCUGUAGGUGAUGCACAUCACACUUCUUAAAAGAGGCAGCUCCACGUGAUGAAGCUACAUCCUGCAAGAGCAGCCCCCAGCAAGAGGUGCCAGAGAACGAGAAUCACACAAGGGUAGCAGUAGCCCACGUGGUUCACAAUCAGCAUUGAGGAUUUUUCUCAUAUGGAAGGACUUGCGAACAAAUCAGAUGAGCUGGGAUGCCAAAUUGAGAGCAGUGGGAAGGGGGCAGGGACUUGAAAAGGGCCUCUGAUAAACUAUGCCCCACUUAACAGUCUUCUAUUUUUAUUCUGAUCUUAUGAGUUAACCCAUGAAUUUUACAGUAUAAUUUUCAGAAGCAAUAACUUCAGAGCCUAAGAUUCUUUUGUGCCUCUUCUCUCAAGCUCAUUUAUAGCAUUACAUUUAGUAGCCAAAUUCAUUAACUCCCU
RNAcentral lists this long non-coding RNA (5009 nucleotides) under Sus scrofa (pig). RNAcentral describes it as "lncRNA (ENSSSCG00005027919.1)". The record is from RNAcentral. Lineage: Eukaryota; Metazoa; Chordata; Mammalia; Artiodactyla; Suidae.